CGGAGCAGCUGAAACGAUCGCUGGAUAAAUCCAGAGGAAAGUCCGAACACCACAGGGCAGGGUGCUCCAUAACAUGGAGUCGCGAUAACGCGAAGGAAAGUGCAACAGAAAGUAAACCGCCCACUCCUUAUUUCUCAUAUUUUGGGGAAUUAGGGUGGGUAAGGGUGAAACGGUGCGGUAAGAGCGCACCAGUUCUUCGGGUGACCGGAGAAGCUCGGUAAACCCCACCCGGUGCAAGACCAAAUAGGGGAGCGUUUGAGGGUGGCCCAUCCAAGCUCCCGGGUAGGUCGCAAGAGGUGCCGGGUAACCGGUACCCGCAGAUGAAUGAUCGUUACCUGGUUCGGAGUAAUCCGCACCGGGUACAGAAUUCGGCUUAUUGGCUGCUUUGGCCG
Molecule: RNase P RNA, 392 nt
Filed under: Deltaproteobacteria bacterium
Lineage: Bacteria; Pseudomonadati; Myxococcota; Myxococcia
Description: RNase P RNA component class A
Rfam family: Bacterial RNase P class A
About the family: Ribonuclease P (RNase P) is a ubiquitous endoribonuclease, found in archaea, bacteria and eukarya as well as chloroplasts and mitochondria. Its best characterised activity is the generation of mature 5'-ends of tRNAs by cleaving the 5'-leader elements of precursor-tRNAs.
Source: RNAcentral